CUACGGGUGGCAGCAGUGAGGAAUUUUGCGCAAUGGGGGCAACCCUGACGCAGCAACGCCGCGUGAGUGAAGAAGGCCUUUGGGUCGUAAAGCUCUGUCGACAGGGAAGAAGUUAUUGUUGUUUAACAGAUGACAGUAUUGACGGUACCUGUAGAGGAAGCACCGGCUAACUCCGUGCCAGCAGCCGCGGUAAUACGGGGGGUGCAGGCGUUAUUCGGAAUUAUUGGGCGUAAAGGGCGCGUAGGCGGUCUUGUCGGUCAGAGGUGAAAGCCCAGGGCUCAACCCUGGACGCGCAUUUGAAACAGCAAGACUUGAGUACGGGAGAGGAAAGCGGAAUUCCUGGUGUAGAGGUGAAAUUCGUAGAUAUCAGGAGGAACACCGAUGGCGAAGGCAGCUUUCUGGACCGAUACUGACGCUGAGGCGCGAAGGUGUGGGUAGCGAACGGGAUUAGAUACCCGAGUAGUC
This 465-nucleotide ribosomal RNA is filed under the name uncultured bacterium. RNAcentral describes it as "partial 16S ribosomal RNA". It matches the Rfam family "Bacterial small subunit ribosomal RNA", at positions 339 to 795 of the family's 1533-position model. The record is from RNAcentral.